This 409-nucleotide ribosomal RNA is filed under the name Plautia crossota. Its description in RNAcentral is "partial large subunit ribosomal RNA". The record is from RNAcentral. Lineage: Eukaryota; Metazoa; Arthropoda; Insecta; Hemiptera; Pentatomidae.
AAAUAGCCGCAGUAUAUUGACUGUGCGAAGGUAGCAUAAUCAUCUGUCUUUUAAUUGGAGGCUGGAAUGAAUGGUUGGAUGAGGGAAUAGCUUUCUUUAUAUUAAUAAUUAAAUUUAAUUUUUAGGUUAAAAAGCUUAAAUUUUAAAGGGGGACGAGAAGACCCUAUAGAAUUUUAUUUUCAAUUAAUUAUUUUAUUUUGUUAAUUAAAAUCUUAAUUUGUUAAUUUUGUUGGGGUGACGUUGAGAUUUUUUUAACUCUCAUAUUUUUUACUUAUUUAUUUAUAUAUAUAUAAUCCUUUAUUAUGGAAUUUAGAUUAAAUUACCUUAGGGAUAACAGCGUAAUUCUUUUGGAGAGUUCUUAUCGAUAGAAAAGUUUGCGAGCUCGAUGUUGGAUUAAAAUUAAAUUUAA